UGAGGUGAAAACCCAGCUAGGAAGCGGCUGGAGAGCGGGGAAUAGGUAUAGCGGCGCACCGGCUCGCACUUCCGCUUCCGGCUGCGCACCGCAGUAAGUGUAGGGGACCGAACCCCAAGAGCUUUGGAAUGAGGAUGAUGUGAAGCUGAGAGAAGAGCUGGGGCCGCCUCUUCGACACGCGUACAGAAAAGUCCCGUUUUCACGCAUCCAAGGUGGACCAGGAUCCAGAUCAAUCUGUCGAUAUUGGGAACACCGCCGUACCAGGAAACCCAGCGCCAAGGGCCGGGUUGGAGGCGGGGACCGGCCCAGGGGGCGGGGCAUGCGUGGAGGCGUCACCCAAGGCUUGGACUACAGGCAGCGGGAUGCUCAUCGAGUGCUUUUCUUUUCUUUUUUUCUUUUUUUUUUUUUUUUUUGAGACGGAGUCUCGCUCUGUCGCCCAGGCUGGAGUGCAGUGGCGCAAUCUCGGCUCACUGCAAGCUCCACCUCCCGGGUUCACGCCAUUCUCCUGCCUCAGCCUCUCCGAGUAGCUGGGACUACAGGCGCCCGCCACCACGCCCGGCUAAUUUUUUGUAUUUUUAGUAGAGACGGAGUUUCACCGUGGUCUCGAUCUCCUGACCUCGUGAUCCGCCCGCCUCGGCCUUCCAAAGUGCUGGGAUUACAAGCGUGAGCCACCGCGCCCGGCCCUCUUUUCUUUUUUCUUUUUAUUUUUAGUUUUGUGAGAUAAGGCUCCGGUCUGUCGCCUAGGCUGGAGUACAGUGGCUCCGUCAUAGAUCAUUGCAGCCUGGAACUCCUGCGCUGAAGAGAUCCUCCCGCCUCAGCCUCCGGAGUAGCUUGCACCACAGUUGCGCCCAUCACGCCCAGCUAAGUUAUCUUUUUCUAGAAACUUGGGUCUCACUAUGUUCCCUAGGCUGGUCUCGAACUCCUGAGCCUAAAGGAUCCUCCCCUUUUGGCCUCCCUAGUAGCUUGGACCGCAGCAUACAAUUCGACCACCCCGUCUGGGAAGUGAGGAGCGCCUCUGCCCGGCCGCCCCAUCUGGGAAGUGAGGAGCGCCUCUGCCUGGCCGCCCAUCGUCUGGGAAGUGAGGAGCGCCUCUGCCUGGCCACCCAUCAUCUGGGAAGUGAGGAGCGCCUCUACCCAGCUGCUGUGCAACCUUCCAAGUGUGAAGUGACAGCCUUCAUUGUAGAAUGAAUGAAGACACUGGCACUGAUUAUAUAACACCUUGGCAGCUAUCUAAAGUCAUUGAUGGUGGAGGUAUUGGAAUUUUAGAAGAAAGCAAACACACAAAUUUGACUAAAGGCGAUUUUGUGACUUCUUUCUAUUGGCCCUGGCAAACCAAGGUUAUUCUGGAUGGAAAUAUAUCAGCCUUGAAAAGGUGAUAUAUAUAUAUGAACGCAUCUGAUUUUUUUCCCCGUAUAAUUCUUACUUUGUGCAUUUGAUAUUCAGUUGUGUUUGUAAUCACGGAAAAAUAAAAGCAUAUAUAAAAAGAAAAAAAAACAAUUAUAGCAUAAAAUUAA
Molecule: long non-coding RNA, 1514 nt
Organism: Symphalangus syndactylus (siamang)
Lineage: Eukaryota; Metazoa; Chordata; Mammalia; Primates; Hylobatidae
Source: RefSeq, a predicted model, not a curated record